GACGAACGCUGGCGGCGUGCUUAACACAUGCAAGUCGAACGGAAAGGCCCUGCUUUUGUGGGGUGCUCGAGUGGCGAACGGGUGAGUAACACGUGAGUAACCUGCCCUUGACUUUGGGAUAACUUCAGGAAACUGGGGCUAAUACCGGAUAGGAGCUCCUGCUGCAUGGUGGGGGUUGGAAAGUUUCGGCGGUUGGGGAUGGACUCGCGGCUUAUCAGCUUGUUGGUGGGGUAGUGGCUUACCAAGGCUUUGACGGGUAGCCGGCCUGAGAGGGUGACCGGGCAACAUGGGGACGGAGUAACGCCCCGGACCCCGAGGGGGGGAAGCGGGGGGGAUUAUGGCAAAGGGGGCGGAGGCCGGAGGCAGCAGCCCCGGGGGGGGGAUGCGGGCCUUCGGUUUGAAAACCGCUUUCGCCUGUGACGAGGGGGGGGGGAGGGAAAGGGGUAAAGAAGCACCGGCAAACUACGUC
This 469-nucleotide ribosomal RNA is filed under the name uncultured bacterium. Its description in RNAcentral is "partial 16S ribosomal RNA". It matches the Rfam family "Bacterial small subunit ribosomal RNA", at positions 28 to 507 of the family's 1533-position model. The record is from RNAcentral.